GCUCGUGUAGCUCAGUGGUUAGAGCCUCGUGCUUAUAGCGGCAAAAGUUUUGACGUUGUGCAAAUGUCACGAGUAACGCGAUCGUCGUGGGUUCAAACCCCACCUCGAGCA
This is a transfer RNA of 111 nucleotides. It matches the Rfam family "tRNA". Rfam says of the family: Transfer RNA (tRNA) molecules are approximately 80 nucleotides in length. The record is from Rfam.